UCAAAAAAGGCCUAUUGCAUAAAGUGUGUGUUUAACAUGAUGUCUAUCAUUCAUUAUCAAAGAAGUAGAAUGCAUGUGAUAUAUAUAACAUUUUGGUGUUAAGCUUUUGAUAGCCCUUUUUUUUUUCUUUUUCUUUUUUUUUUACCGUGUUCUCCGGUAUCUCAAAAUUUUCAGCCAAGAAUUAAUCCGCAUUUGGAGGUCUUGUCAAGAAUUAACAGCUUCAUGAAUCGAACGCGGAUUAGAAGAUUCCCAACCUAGACGCUCAACCACUAGGCCACGUGUUAUGGUUAAGCUUUUGAUAGACUCUCUCAUCAAUGUGCUUCCCUUUGGUUCAUUCAGUAUUAAUUGUGUAAAUGUGACUCAAAGUAGUGGGAUUUUUUGGCAGAAAAGUUAUGUGGAAUUAUCUUCCAACGCCAAGCUACAUUACCCUACGUUAUAUUAAUUCUAACUCUAAUCUAACAGCUACCACAAACUUCAUUAUUUAUUGUUUUGUAACCCAAUGAUUGAGCUGAAGCUGUGCUUGUGGAGAUGCUUAUAAAGGACGUAAAAGCCGAUCACCUGUAGAAGAAGCAAAAGUAUCAACUAAACUUGUUCAAAGCAAAUAUCACGUCUAUCCUGUCCUUAUCAGAUCAAUUAGACUUAUUCAAAGAAUACAAAAGCCAGAUAAACGCAGCAGUUGGGGAUGAAACAGCCACUCUACUGUCAGAAAGCUUAUUCGUUCUUUCAAGGAAGCAAUGACCUAGCAAUUAAUUAUUAUUCUACACCACCGAGGAGUGGUCACUAUGAUACUCCAGCUUAUCAAAUCUCCUGCUUGAAUCAGCUUCAAAUUUCCUUCAGGAACUUUAUGUACUGGGAGCAAGAGUGAUUGGAGUACUAAGUAUGCCGCCAAUUGGGUGUGUCAUGUGUGCCAGCACAGAGAACACUCAAUGGAGGUACAAAGAGAGCCUGCUACGAGACUGAGAACCAAGCAGCAAUCCCCUUCAACACAAAGCUCUUCCCCCUUAUAGAUUCCCUCAAUAAGAGACUUCAAGAAGCAAAACUCAUUUACGUUGAUAUAUAUAACCCUUUGCUUUCGAUGAUCCAAGACCCUGCUCAAUAUGGAUUUGAAGUGGUAGAUAAAGGCCCUGUGCAACAAAUACACUCCAGGUACUUGCAAUGAUGCUUCCAACUACAUAUUCUGGGAUGGCUUUCAUCCCACAGAAACAGCUUACAGGAUCCUGACCUCUGCAAUAUUAAAGCAAG
This is a long non-coding RNA of Rosa chinensis, 1242 nucleotides long. RefSeq lists it as uncharacterized. Lineage: Eukaryota; Viridiplantae; Streptophyta; Magnoliopsida; Rosales; Rosaceae. The record is from RefSeq and is a predicted model, not a curated record. The transcript is spliced from 4 exons.